UACGUAGGGUGCAAGCGUUGCCCCGGAUUUAUUGGGCGUAAAGGGCGCGUAGGCGGCUCUGCACGUCCGUUGUGAAAUCGCCCCGGCUCAACUGGGCGGGGUCAGCGGAUACGGCAGAGCUUGAGCAAGCUAGGGGGCAAUGGAAUUCCCGGUGUAGUGGUGGAAUGCGUAGAUAUCGGGAGGAACACCAGUGGCGAAGGCGGUUGCCUGGGGCUUUGCUGACGCUGAUGCGCGAAAGCGUGGGGAGCGAUCCGG
RNAcentral lists this ribosomal RNA (255 nucleotides) under uncultured bacterium. RNAcentral describes it as "partial 16S ribosomal RNA". It matches the Rfam family "Bacterial small subunit ribosomal RNA", at positions 524 to 776 of the family's 1533-position model. The record is from RNAcentral.